ACGCUCGACACCUACGGGAGGCAGCAGUCGGGAAUAUUGCGCAAUGGAGGAAACUCUGACGCAGUGACGCCGCGUAUAGGAAGAAGGUUUUCGGAUUGUAAACUAUUGUCGUUAGGGAAGAGAAAGGACAGUACCUAAGGAGGAAGCUCCGGCUAACUACGUGCCANCGCGCGGUAGUAUGNGNGGCGGNGCGAGAG
This 197-nucleotide ribosomal RNA is filed under the name uncultured bacterium. Its description in RNAcentral is "partial 16S ribosomal RNA". It matches the Rfam family "Bacterial small subunit ribosomal RNA", at positions 328 to 538 of the family's 1533-position model. The record is from RNAcentral.